RNAcentral lists this unclassified non-coding RNA (305 nucleotides) under Gloiodon strigosus. Its description in RNAcentral is "partial contains 5.8S ribosomal RNA, internal transcribed spacer 2, and large subunit ribosomal RNA". Lineage: Eukaryota; Fungi; Basidiomycota; Agaricomycetes; Russulales; Auriscalpiaceae. The record is from RNAcentral.
CGCAUCUUGCGCCCCUUGGUAUUCCGAGGGGCACGCCUGUUUGAGUGUCGUGAAAUUCUCAAGCCUUAUUACUUUUAGUAGGGUUUUGGAUUUGGAGGUUAUUGCCGGAUUGCUUAUUUAGCUAGUUUGGCUCCUCUUGAAUGUAUUAGUGAGGCUUUGAAGGUGUCUUUCGCCCUCAGUGUGAUAAUUGUCUACGCUGUGAGCGGGCAUCGCUUAGAGAAGACUUGCUGCUUAACUGUCUUUGGACAAUUGCGUCUUAUAUGAAAGUUGACCUCAGAUCAGGUGGGACUACCCGCUGAACUUAA